RNAcentral lists this ribosomal RNA (253 nucleotides) under uncultured bacterium. RNAcentral's name for it is "partial 16S ribosomal RNA". It matches the Rfam family "Bacterial small subunit ribosomal RNA", at positions 524 to 776 of the family's 1533-position model. The record is from RNAcentral.
UACGUAGGGUGCAAGCGUUAAUCGGAAUUACUGGGCGUAAAGCGUGCGCAGGCGGUUUUGUAAGACUGUCGUGAAAUCCCCGGGCUUAACCAGGGAAUGGCGAUGGUGACUGCAAGGCUAGAGUUUGGCAGAGGGGGGUAGAAUUCCACGUGUAGCAGUGAAAUGCGUAGAGAUGUGGAGGAACACCGAUGGCGAAGGCAGCCCCCUGGGUCAAGACUGACGCUCAUGCACGAAAGCGUGGGGAGCAAACAGG